GGACUACUGGGGUAUCUAAUCCUGUUCGCUACCCACGCUUUCGUUCAUCAGCGUCAAUAAGUACGUAGUAAUCUGCCUUCGCAAUUGGUAUUCCAUGUAAUAUCUAAGCAUUUCACCGCUACACUACAUAUUCUAAUUACUUCCAUACUAUUCAAGUCUAGCAGUAUCAACGGCAAUUUUACAGUUAAGCUGCAAGAUUUCACCACUGACUUACUAAACCGCCUACGAACCCUUUAAACCCAAUAAUUCCGGAUAACGCUCGGAUCCUCCGUAUUACCGCGGCUGCUGGCAC
RNAcentral lists this ribosomal RNA (292 nucleotides) under uncultured Bacteroidota bacterium. Its description in RNAcentral is "uncultured Bacteroidetes bacterium partial 16S ribosomal RNA". Lineage: Bacteria; Pseudomonadati; Bacteroidota. The record is from RNAcentral.